AGGAAAUGAAGAAUGACUGCUGAUGGAUGUGGGGUUUCUUUUUGAUCGACAAAAAUGCUCCAAAAUUGACGGUGGUGAUGGUUAUACAACUCUGCCAGCACACCAAAAACCCGUGAAUUGUGCACUUGGAACGAGUUGUCUGUGUGUGAAUUACAUCUCCGUAAAGCUGUUAUAAAGACCAUUUGGAGGGUGACUGGCAUGUGAUCUUCAUGGCGUAAGCGUUAGCUCUGAUGAUGAUGGGGGCAGUGGGGUGGUGGUGGUUGCCCGUAACUGUUCGAAACACGCAGUGUGUCUUACUGUGAAGCAUUCUGUUGUAUAGGAUCUCCUCUAUCGAAGAUCUAGGUCACUAGUGGAUUAUGAAAAUGCUAAUAAAGCACUGGAUAAAGCAAGAGCGAAAAAUAAAGAUGUUCUUCAGGCUGAGACAUCCCAACAAUUAUGUUGUCAGAAAUUUGAAAAAAUAUCUGAAUCUGCAAAACAAGAACUUAUAGAUUUUAAGACGAGAAGAGUUGCCGCAUUCAGAAAAAAUUUAGUGGAACUGGCAGAGUUAGAACUGAAGCAUGCAAAGGUUAGUGUCAUAGUCAAGGUUUAAUAUUUUACGUGACUUAUAAUUUAGAAAUGAGUCAGUCUUGGGACACCUGGGUCCUCACGAUUGGUGAGUUUCAAGUCCCACGUUAGGCUGUGCGGCCCCCUUUCAGAUCCUCUGUCCCCCCUCUGUGCCCUUCCCCCGCAAAAGUAAAAAAAUACACAUUAAAAAGAAAAAGGAGGGAGGGAGGGAGAGAGAGAGAGAGAGAGAGAGAGAGAGAGAAAGAAAGAAAGAAAGAAAGAAAGAAAGAAAGAAAGAAAGAAAGAAAGAAAAGAAAGAAAUGAAUGAAUGAAUGAAUGAAUGAAUGAAUUAUGGGGUGCCUGGCCGGCUCAUUCGGUGGAGCAUGUGACUCUUGAUCUCCUGGAUGUGAGUUUGAGCCCCACGUUGGGUGUUGGGUGUAGAGAUUACUUAAAAAAAAAGAAAGAGGGGAAGGCAGGGAGGAAGGAAGGAGUCAGUUAUGGAAUUGAUAAUAAUCCUUUAAUGACAGUUUCUUUCUGGAGGGAUAUUGGAAGAACCAUUCCUGGAUUAGAAUGAAUUAUAAUUGGAAUGCUAAUUUUUGAAGAUCAUUUUAGUACUUCAGAAUAAUUUAAUGUUAGUAAAUAAAUAUCCUUCGCCCAGGGUCUUUUAUAGUGUUUGUUUCCUCCAGAUUCAGCCCUUUCUUGUAGUUAAGAUAAAGCUUGGCCCAAGCCUUCUAAUAAGGUUAGAACUAGAGAAUCUUAGAAUUGCGAGCGAACUUAAAGAUCAUCUAAUUCAAGCAAGAAUAAUACGUACAGUUUCUCUAAGCGGUCAGCUCUGCAAGACCCUAGUACCUAAUAUGGAAACCAGUAUCAUUUUUGACUGCUUAAAAAAGAUAAAUCUAUCUUUAAUAAAAACUUCUUUAAAAAUUCAAUAUUUGCUGGCUUCAAUCAGAAGGACUGAAAGUAAAAAUAUAUUCAAAAUUCCCCAAAUUAUAAGUAUUAAAGAAAUUUAAAUAAAUUUGUUAGUGUUUUGUUUUGUUUUUUUAAUAUAUUUAUAGUAUUUACACUUUGAAAGUCAUUAAAAAGCUUGAGACUCUACUAAGACGUUCGGGACACUCCAUAACGCACAGAAAGCUGCUUGUGUGUCACUUUGACAAAUUGGUCAGAGUUUUGUCAUGUGAAAUAAGAAAGAUAAAUUUGACGGAUGCCUGGGUGGCUCUGUCGUUUGAGGAUCCGACUCUUGGUUUUGGUCAGGUCAUGGUCUGUCUCACAGUUUGUCAGCUGGAGGAGCCCUGCGUCCAACUCUGCGUGGAGUCUGCUUGGGGUUCUCUCUCUCCCUGCCCCUCCCCGCUCGUGCGCUCGCUCGCUCGCUCGCGCUCUCUCUCUCUCUCAAACUCUCAAAAUAAAUGGGUUGGCUUUAAAAAAAGAAAGAAAAAUGAAUUUAAUUUCUCCCACAGAAACAUUUGGAUAUAUCACCCUCAAAUAUUUGAAUAUAUUCUCUCCUACAAGCUAGACAUCUUUGAGCUAAAUAUAUUUUAUCCCAUACAUUUCAAUAAGCUUUUUAUAUUAUUACACUAGGUCAUUGCUGUUUUCAAAUAUUGCAUGCAGGGGCCCCUUGGUGGCUCAGUUGGGUAGGCCUCUGUCUUUGGCUCAGGUCACGAUCUCACGAUCUCACAGUUCGUGAGUUCGAGCCCGACGUCGGGCUCUGUGCUGACAGCUCAGAGCCUGGAAUUGCUUCGGAUUCUGUGUCUCCCUCUUUUCUCUCUCUGCCCCUCCCCUGCUCAUGCUCUGUCUCUCUCCGUCUCUAUGUCUCUCUCUCUCUCUCUC
Molecule: long non-coding RNA, 2367 nt
Organism: Neofelis nebulosa (Clouded leopard)
Lineage: Eukaryota; Metazoa; Chordata; Mammalia; Carnivora; Felidae
Exons: 2
Source: RefSeq, a predicted model, not a curated record